RNAcentral lists this ribosomal RNA (482 nucleotides) under uncultured bacterium. Its description in RNAcentral is "partial 16S ribosomal RNA". It matches the Rfam family "Bacterial small subunit ribosomal RNA", at positions 30 to 507 of the family's 1533-position model. The record is from RNAcentral.
AUUGAACGCUGGCGGCAUGCUUUACACAUGCAAGUCGAACGGUAACAGGCCGCAAGGUGCUGACGAGUGGCGAACGGGUGAGUAAUGCAUCGGAACGUGCCCAGUCGUGGGGGAUAACUACUCGAAAGAGUAGCUAAUACCGCAUACGAUCUAUGGAUGAAAGCGGGGGACCGUAAGGCCUCGCGCGAUUGGAGCGGCCGAUGUCAGAUUAGGUAGUUGGUGGGGUAAAGGCUCACCAAGCCAACGAUCUGUAGCUGGUCUGAGAGGACGACCAGCCACACUGGGACUGAGACACGGCCCAGACUACUACGGGAGGCAGCAGUGGGGAAUUUUGGACAAUGGGCGCAAGCCUGAUCCAGCAAUGCCGCGUGCAGGAAGAAGGCCUUCGGGUUGUAAACUGCUUUUGUACGGAACGAAACGGCUCUGGUUAAUACCCGGGGCUAAUGACGGUACCGGAAGAAUAAGCACCGGCUAACUACGUG